Molecule: ribosomal RNA, 301 nt
Filed under: uncultured bacterium
Lineage: Bacteria
Description: partial 16S ribosomal RNA
Rfam family: Bacterial small subunit ribosomal RNA
Source: RNAcentral
CAGUAGCCACGGGAAUACGAAGGGGGCUAGCGUUGCUCGGAAUUACUGGGCGUAAAGGGAGCGUAGGCGGAUCGUUAAGUUGGGGGUGAAAGCCCGGGGCUCAACCUCGGAACUGCCUUCAAUACUGGCGAUCUUGAGUAUGAGAGAGGUGUGUGGAACUCCGAGUGUAGAGGUGAAAUUCGUAGAUAUUCGGAAGAACACCAGUGGCGAAGGCGACACACUGGCUCAUUACUGACGCUGAGGCUCGAAAGCGUGGGGAGCAAACAGGAUUAGAUACCCCUGUAGUCCCUGUCUCUUAUAC